CGAAGUUAAUCGUAUUCGAUUCGAUAUAAGUGUGCAAAUAGUUUAUAGAAAGAAGACGCAUCUGAACCUGCACAGAAAAAUCUACCAAGUGAUGCUUUAUAUGCCUUGAAACAAGGAUAAAUCGUUUUUUUGGCCUCUGAUUGAUACGGAUAUAGCAUUGGGGAAACAGACGCUUGCUGAACUACCCCCUUUUAGCUUCGUUCCGGGUUUCUGGAUCCUGGAAUAUCAUUAUUCUAGUUUCGGUGUGGCCUGCUAUGUUUGUGGUCGUUCGCUGUCCGAGCUAUGGAUUAGGACAAGACAGCUGGCAGAUGACAGGUGCAGUCAGCUGUGCGUUGGCGUUGAUAGAUUCCGAUCAUAUACAGGGUUUGGUCGACGAAAAGCUUGAGGAAGGCCCAGUUUGCAAACGGCUUUCAGAGUCCGAAUUCGGUUUCAUUUCGUUGCAAGUCGUCGGCGUUCAGCUUCAAAUACACAGACAAGCGAACAAUAUUCUUUACACAAAAGUGUGCUUGUGUAAAAAUACUUUGUACAGUACGGUAAAGGAUCAAUCGUGUGUACAAACUGUGUGAGGAAGGUAUCAAGUUCCUGGACACUUGACAAUCGCGUAUACCUCGUUUACCUAAUGGCGUACGAUCGUAUCCAGCGACUACUUGGGUAAUCAUCAAACAAUCUACAGGUGCAACACACGUUUUGUCUACCAUGUUUAAGAACGCAAAUGAAAAUAACGAAUGGUGCAGUCAACCGCAAGCUGCAUAGGUGGGCAGAUGUACAUCGGCUUUCGUAGAGCUACGUACCCAGGUAGGCGCCUAAAUGAGCGGUUAGCCAACUAGGUGUGAAAGUGAUGCUGCGGCUAUCGGCUGCGUAAAAAGCCCUAUAGGAAAACCUGGGAAAGGCUUGUUGGAAGGACGCCAACAAGCCAAUGAAGCAAGUCACUUGUUUGUGUAGGAGACAGGCUGACCGGGACCAGCAUCUAUGUGUGUGCAUGUAGGCGUGACAAAAUGGGCAUGUCUCUGCGUAUGUGCGUGUGUAUA
Long non-coding RNA from Varroa destructor (honeybee mite), 1028 nucleotides. RefSeq lists it as uncharacterized. The record is from RefSeq and is a predicted model, not a curated record. NCBI's taxonomy places the organism in Eukaryota, Metazoa, Arthropoda, Arachnida, Mesostigmata, Varroidae.